GCUCCGAUGGCUUAGAGGUUAGAGCGUCCGCCUCGGAUGCAGGAAGUCGCAGGUUUGAACCCCGGUUGAGGCA
Potamilus streckersoni is the source of this 73-nucleotide non-coding RNA. Lineage: Eukaryota; Metazoa; Mollusca; Bivalvia; Unionida; Unionidae. The record is from the annotation of a GenBank genome assembly.